This 422-nucleotide ribosomal RNA is filed under the name uncultured archaeon. RNAcentral describes it as "partial 16S ribosomal RNA". It matches the Rfam family "Archaeal small subunit ribosomal RNA", at positions 323 to 746 of the family's 1478-position model. The record is from RNAcentral.
CUACGGGAUGCUGCAGGCGAGAAAACUUUGCAAUGUGCGAAAGCACGACAAGGUUAAUCCGAGUGGUUUCUGCUAAAGAAACCUUUUGUCGGUCCUAGAAACACCGAUGAAUAAGGGGUGGGCAAGUUCUGGUGUCAGCCGCCGCGGUAAAACCAGCACCUCAAGUGGUCAGGAUGAUUAUUGGGCCUAGAGCAUCCGUAGCCUGCUUUGUUAGUUUUCGGUUAAAUCUGUGCGCUUAACGUACAGGCUGCCGGAAAUACUGCAAAGCUAGGGAGUGGGAGAGGUAGACGGUACUCGGUAGGAAGGGGUAAAAUCCUUUGAUCUAUUGAUGACCACCUGUGGCGAAGGCGGUCUACCAGAACACGUCCGACGGUGAGGGAUGAAAGCUGGAGGAGCAAACCGGAUUAGAUACCCUCGUAGUC